GCGACCCCUAAUGGGAGCAGCCGAAAGAAGAAGAAAAAGUGUAGGUAAGAAUUCCCAUUCAGUUGUAUUUCCACGCUUCACCACUAGAGGCACAGUUUACCACUCAUCAUAAGCUACCUCUGACAUCACAGUGCACCGUUCUCCAUCAAGAGUAUAAAAGGCCAGAACACUGAGCAGCAGUCGGCAUUCGACAUCAGCCAUCUACCGAACAGCAGCGAGCAAUUGACGGCAAGAAUCACAUACGAUUAAUUCUAAACCCAGUAAAGCUUGAGUGUGAAGAAUCCUGUACCGUGUUUUUACUGACACGCUGAGGCGAGUACAAUCUCCUGAUCAGCACACACUAUCUGAGAUGAGGCGGGUAGACGAUGAAAUAAUGCAGGAAGUCAC
Molecule: long non-coding RNA, 387 nt
Organism: Silurus meridionalis
Lineage: Eukaryota; Metazoa; Chordata; Actinopteri; Siluriformes; Siluridae
Exons: 3
Source: RefSeq, a predicted model, not a curated record